GAUGAACGCUAGCUACAGGCUUAACACAUGCAAGUCGAACGGGCACUUCGGUGUCAGUGGCAGACGGGUGAGUAACACGUGGGAACGUACCUUUUGGUUCGGAACAACUGAGGGAAACUUCAGCUAAUACCGGAUAAGCCCUUACGGGGAAAGAUUUAUCGCCGAAAGAUCGGCCCGCGUCUGAUUAGCUAGUUGGUAGGGUAAUGGCCUACCAAGGCGACGAUCAGUAGCUGGGCUGAGAGGAUGAUCAGCCACAUUGGGGCUGAGACACGGCCCAAACUCCUACGGGAGGCAGCAGUGGGGAAUAUUGGACAAUGGGGGCAACCCUGAUCCAGCCAUGGCGCGUGAGUGAUGAAGGCCCUAGGGUUGUAAAGCUCUUUUGUGCGGGAAGAUAAUGACGGUACCGCAAGAAUAAGCCCCGGCUAACUUCGUGCCAGCCGCCGCAGUAA
RNAcentral lists this ribosomal RNA (449 nucleotides) under uncultured bacterium. RNAcentral describes it as "partial 16S ribosomal RNA". It matches the Rfam family "Bacterial small subunit ribosomal RNA", at positions 28 to 523 of the family's 1533-position model. The record is from RNAcentral.